UCCGGUUUGGCACCGGCAGUCUCCCAUGAGUCCCCGACUUUACUCGCUGGCAACAUGGGACAGGGGUUGCGCUCGUUGCGCCACUUAAGGCAACACCUCACGGCACGAGCUGACGACAGCCAUGCACCACCUGUGCGGGCCUCCGAAGAGGGACCGGCUUUCACCGGCUUCACCCCGCAUGUCAAGCCCUGGUAAGGUUCUUCGCGUUGCAUCGAAUUAAGCCACAUGCUCCACCGCUUGUGCGGGCCCCCGUCAAUUCCUUUGAGUUUCAUUCUUGCGAACGUACUCCCCAGGUGGUGUGCUUACUGCGUUAACUGCGUCACUGAUCCCGACACGAAGUCGGGACCAACAACUAGCACACAUCGUUUACAGCGUGGACUAC
RNAcentral lists this unclassified non-coding RNA (382 nucleotides) under uncultured bacterium. Its description in RNAcentral is "contains 16S-23S intergenic spacer region". The record is from RNAcentral.